This 407-nucleotide ribosomal RNA is filed under the name uncultured bacterium. RNAcentral describes it as "partial 16S ribosomal RNA". It matches the Rfam family "Bacterial small subunit ribosomal RNA", at positions 29 to 526 of the family's 1533-position model. The record is from RNAcentral.
AUUGAACGCUGGCGGCAGGCCUAACACAUGCAAGUCGAGCGGAGCGGCGGACGGGUGAGUAAUGCCUAGGAGUAGGCCUGGUAGUGGGGGAAAAAGUACGGAAACGGGAGCCAAUACCGCAUACUAUCAGAUGAGACUAGGGCGGAUUAGCUAGUUGGAGGGGUAAAGGCCUACCAAGGCGACGAUCCGUAACUGGUCGUAGAGGAUGAUCAGUCACACUGGAACGGAGACACGGUCCAGACUCCUACGGGAGGCAGCAGUGGGGAUGAUUCGACAAGGGGCGAAAGCCUGAUCGAGCCAUGCCGGGUGUGUGAAGAAGGUCUUCGGAUUGUAAAGCACUUUAAUUUGGGAGGCGUUACCAACAGAGUAAGCACCGGCUAACUUCGUGCCAGCAGCCGCGGUAAUUC